Molecule: ribosomal RNA, 253 nt
Filed under: uncultured bacterium
Lineage: Bacteria
Description: partial 16S ribosomal RNA
Rfam family: Bacterial small subunit ribosomal RNA
Source: RNAcentral
UACGGAGGGGGCUAGCGUUGUUCGGAAUUACUGGGCGUAAAGCGCGCGUAGGCGGAUCUGCAAGUCGGGGGUGAAAUCCCGAGGCUCAACCUCGGAACUGCCUUCGAUACUGCGGGUCUCGAGUCCGGGAGAGGUGAGUGGAAUUCCUAGUGUAGAGGUGAAAUUCGUAGAUAUUAGGAAGAACACCAGUGGCGAAGGCGGCUCACUGGCCCGGUACUGACGCUGAGGUACGAAAGCGUGGGGAGCAAACAGG